UACGAGGGGGGCGAGCGUUGUUCGGAUUUACUGGGCGUAAAGGGCGCGCAGGCGGCUAUCCAAGUCAGGCGUGAAAGCCCCGGGCUUAACCUGGGAGGUGCGUCUGGGACUGGGUGGCUAGAGUUCGGGAGAGGAGAGUGGAAUUCCCAGUGUAGAGGUGAAAUUCGUAGAUAUCAGGAGGAACACCAGUGGCGAAGGCGGCUUCCUGGACACCAACUGACGCUGAGACGCGAAAGCGUGGGGAGCAAACAGG
This 253-nucleotide ribosomal RNA is filed under the name uncultured bacterium. RNAcentral describes it as "partial 16S ribosomal RNA". It matches the Rfam family "Bacterial small subunit ribosomal RNA", at positions 524 to 776 of the family's 1533-position model. The record is from RNAcentral.